GAGUGGCAUCAGGAUGUCUGAGAGGAGAGCAUGGUGUUUUUGCUUCAUUGGAUCCAUGCAGGUCUUGGAGGGUGGUGGCCCACUCUUUCUGGGCCAAGUAGAGGGUGGCUCAGACACCCCCCCUUCCUCCAGGCUUCUCAUCUGUAACUGGUGAAGCCCGGAAGAGCUUGUUGUUCAAGAGGAAAUCUUGUGUUACUUCUUUAUGAAGGACUCCAGCCUGGUGGAGAUGAAUGAGUCCUGAAGAUGGAAUCGAAGCUGUUUGGGCACAAUACUUUAAUCAGCAUUUAAUGACCCAGUCGAAAAUUCAUUGUUUGGACCCAAGCACUGGUGGGAAAGGCAGGAGGGGAGGCCUGCCUUCCUUCCUCCCUCCCGAGCCCUACAGCAGGCCAUGGAGUGGUGAGCGAGUUCGUACAGUGCCAACCACAUUCCCAGAAACUUCCAGCAGAGGUUAAUCCUGCUCCUCUCAGGUGGGCUUGGCCCAUUCUCUAGACUUUGGAAGGUAAUGUUCUAUAGAGGCCUGUUCUGAAGCUUUACCAGGUCAAACCGGAGAAGAACCCAACAAGUAACUCAUCCCAGCCUAACUAUUCUUCAAGGGCAAUCAACCUACAGCAUCCAAGCACAGAGAAAUCAAAUCCAUGGAGAAUCUUCAAAUUAGGCUCAGAAUCCAUUUGGGUCAAUGAAUUUACUGUUAUUAAGAUCUUAGUUGUGUUCAACCAUGAUUUGACAUACCUUAGAGUGAGAAGAUA
This 746-nucleotide long non-coding RNA is filed under the name Homo sapiens (human). Its description in RNAcentral is "non-protein coding ZNF503-AS1:4". The record is from RNAcentral. Lineage: Eukaryota; Metazoa; Chordata; Mammalia; Primates; Hominidae.